GACGAACGCUGGCGGCGCGCUUAACACAUGCAAGUCGAGCGAAGCGGCGGACGGGUGAGUAACACGUGAGUAACCUGCCUUAGACAUUGGGAUAGCCUCGGGAAACCGGGAUUAAUACCAAAUGGUCUAAGAUGGACUCGCGUCCCAUUAGCUAGUUGGUGGGUAACGGCCCACCAAGGCGACGAUGGGUAGCCGGCCUGUGAGUGUUAGCGGCAACAUGGAAACUGAAAAACGAUCCAAACUCUACGGGAGGCAGCAGUGGGGAAUAUUGCACAAUGGAGGGAACUCUGAUGCAGCGACGCCGGGUGAACUAAGAAGGCUUUCAAGGCGUAAAGGUCUUUUAUAUGGAAAGCGGGACCAUAAGAAAAAGCCCCGGCUAACUACGUGCCAGCAGCCGCGGUAAUUC
Molecule: ribosomal RNA, 406 nt
Filed under: uncultured bacterium
Lineage: Bacteria
Description: partial 16S ribosomal RNA
Rfam family: Bacterial small subunit ribosomal RNA
Source: RNAcentral